CGAGUUCACUGAACCUUCGGGGAACGUGAACGGCGUCGAGCGGCGGACGGGUGAGUAAUGCCUGGGAAAUUGCCCUGAUGUGGGGGAAACCAUUGGAAACGAUGGCUAAUACCGCAUAAUAGCUUCGGCUCAAAGAGGGGGACCUUCGGGCCUCUCGCGUCAGGAUAUGCCCAGGUGGGAUUAGCUAGUUGGUGAGGUAAGGGCUCACCAAGGCAACGAUCCCUAGCUGGUCUGAGAGGAUGAUCAGCCACACUGGAACUGAGACACGGUCCAGACUCCUACGGGAGGCAGCAGUGGGGAAUAUUGCACAAUGGGCGCAAGCCUGAUGCAGCCAUGCCGCGUGUAUGAAGAAGGCCUUCGGGUUGUAAAGUACUUUCAGCAGUGAGGAAGUGGUGUAGUUAAUAGCUGCAUCAUUUGACGUUAGCUGCAGAUGAAGCACCGGCUAACUCC
This 450-nucleotide ribosomal RNA is filed under the name uncultured Vibrio sp. RNAcentral describes it as "bacterial SSU rRNA". It matches the Rfam family "Bacterial small subunit ribosomal RNA", at positions 67 to 504 of the family's 1533-position model. Lineage: Bacteria; Pseudomonadati; Pseudomonadota; Gammaproteobacteria; Vibrionales; Vibrionaceae. The record is from RNAcentral.